ACGCUCGACACCUACGAGAGGCAGCAGUGGGGAAUAUUGCACAAUGGGGGAAACCCUGAUGCAGCGACGCCGCGUGGAGGAAGAAGGUCUUCGGAUUGUAAACUCCUGUUGUUGGGGAAAAAGAGGAUGGUACCCAACAAGGAAGUGACGGCUAACUACGUGUCAGCAGCCGCGGUAAUCUGAGCGGGCUGGCAAGGC
RNAcentral lists this ribosomal RNA (198 nucleotides) under uncultured bacterium. Its description in RNAcentral is "partial 16S ribosomal RNA". It matches the Rfam family "Bacterial small subunit ribosomal RNA", at positions 328 to 539 of the family's 1533-position model. The record is from RNAcentral.